UACAUAUGAUGCAAGCGUUAUCCGGAAUGAUUGGGCGUAAAGCGUCUGUAGGUGGUUUAAAAAGUCAAUUGUCAAAGACUAAGGCUUAACCUUAGAUAGGCAGUUGAAACUUUUAGACUAGAGUAUGGCAGAGGUAGAGGGAAUUACUGGUGUAACGGUGAAAUGUGCAGAUAUCAGUAAGAACACCAAUGGCGAAAGCACUCUACUGGACCAAAACUGACACUCAGAGACGAAAGCUAAGGGAGCGAAUAGG
This 253-nucleotide ribosomal RNA is filed under the name uncultured bacterium. RNAcentral's name for it is "partial 16S ribosomal RNA". It matches the Rfam family "Bacterial small subunit ribosomal RNA", at positions 524 to 776 of the family's 1533-position model. The record is from RNAcentral.